UACGUAGGGGGCGAGCGUUGUCCGGAAUCAUUGGGCGUAAAGCGCGUGUAGGCGGCCCGGUAAGUCCGCUGUGAAAGUCAAGGGCUCAACCCUUGGAUGCCGGUGGAUACUGCAGGGCUAGAGUCCGGAAGAGGCGAGUGGAAUUCCUGGUGUAGCGGUGAAAUGCGCAGAUAUCAGGAGGAACACCGAUGGCGAAGGCGGCUCGCUGGGACGGUACUGACGCUGAGGCGCGAAAGCGUGGGGAGCAAACAGG
This 253-nucleotide ribosomal RNA is filed under the name uncultured bacterium. RNAcentral describes it as "partial 16S ribosomal RNA". It matches the Rfam family "Bacterial small subunit ribosomal RNA", at positions 524 to 776 of the family's 1533-position model. The record is from RNAcentral.